This is a non-coding RNA of Drosophila melanogaster (fruit fly), 471 nucleotides long. The record is from Ensembl. Lineage: Eukaryota; Metazoa; Arthropoda; Insecta; Diptera; Drosophilidae.
AUGCACACUAAAAGCUUUUCGGGAUAUAUGUUUUUUCAUAACCCUUUCGUGGCAUAAAACAGAACAAAGCAAUGUCUCAAGUGGCAAGGGUAAGGCACGUAAAUAAAAACGAGGAAUAAAAUCCGGGAAAAAACCCCAUGCACACAUAUAUACGAUAUGCGAAAUGAAAGUGAAGUGAGCGCAGGAUAAUGGCGACCAGAGCGGGACGGAAGGCCAAAAUGAGUGAGAGAGAGAGAGAGCGAUCUGGAGUAAGGGUAAUGAGUGUGCAUAAUGCAGAUGCAGAUGCAGGAUCCCCGUCCAGGAUCCCAGGAGCAGACCAAUCCAGCCCAUCUCCAGCACUCAUUGAACAAGCGGGCUCAAUCUGCCAUGCCAAGAUGCACUUGGGUAGUAGUACACUGGAAGAAAAUUGAGAGUAACAUUUAUUUUUUUUUGCAAUUAAAAUAUUAAAUUUAUCAUUAUUCGAAACUUUGU